GCCUGCGCGGAAGAUGUAACGGGGCUAAACCAUGCACCGAAGCUGCGGCAGCGACACUGUGUGUUGUUGGGUAGGGGAGCGUUCUGUAAGCCUGUGAAGGUGUGUCGUGAGGCAUGCUGGAGGUAUCAGAAGUGCGAAUGCUGACAUAAGUAACGAUAAAGCGGGUGAAAAGCCCGCUCGCCGGAAGACCAAGGGUUCCUGUCCAACGUUAAUCGGGGCAGGGUGAGUCGACCCCUAAGGCGAGGCCGAAAGGCGUAGUCGAUGGGAAACGGGUUAAUAUUCCCGUACUUGGUGUUACUGCGAAGGGGGGACGGAGAAGGCUAUGUUGGCCGGGCGACGGUUGUCCCGGUUUAAGCGUGUAGGUGUGUGUUCCAGGUAAAUCCGGUUCACUUUAACACUGAGGCGUGACGACGAGGCACUACGGUGCUGAAGCAACAAAUGCCCUGCUUCCAGGAAAAGCCUCUAAGCAUCAGGUAACAUCAAAUCGUACCCCAAACCGACACAGGUGGUCAGGUAGAGAAUACCAAGGCGCUUGAGAGAACUCGGGUGAAGGAACUAGGCAAAAUGGUGCCGUAACUUCGGGAGAAGGCACGCUGACACGUAGGUGAAGUGAUUUACUCAUGGAGCUGAAGUCAGUCGAAGAUACCAGCUGGCUGCAACUGUUUAUUAAAAACACAGCACUGUGCAAACACGAAAGUGGACGUAUACGGUGUGACGCCUGCCCGGUGCCGGAAGGUUAAUUGAUGGGGUCAGCGCAAGCGAAGCUCCUGAUCGAAGCCCCGGUAAACGGCGGCCGUAACUAUAACGGUCCUAAGGUAGCGAAAUUCCUUGUCGGGUAAGUUCCGACCUGCACGAAUGGCGUAAUGAUGGCCAGGCUGUCUCCACCCGAGACUCAGUGAAAUUGAACUCGCUGUGAAGAUGCAGUGUACCCGCGGCAAGACGGAAAGACCCCGUGAACCUUUACUAUAGCUUGACACUGAACAUUGAGCCUUGAUGUGUAGGAUAGGUGGGAGGCUUUGAAGUGUGGACGCCAGUCUGCAUGGAGCCGACCUUGAAAUACCACCCUUUAAUGUUUGAUGUUCUAACGUGGACCCGUUACCCGGGUUGCGGACAGUGUCUGGUGGGUAGUUUGACUGGGGCGGUCUCCUCC
Molecule: ribosomal RNA, 1150 nt
Filed under: Salmonella enterica
Lineage: Bacteria; Pseudomonadati; Pseudomonadota; Gammaproteobacteria; Enterobacterales; Enterobacteriaceae
Description: partial 23S ribosomal RNA
Rfam family: Bacterial large subunit ribosomal RNA
Source: RNAcentral